UUUAUGGAGAGUUUGAUCCUGGCUCAGAGUGAACGCUGGCGGCGUGCCUAAUACAUGCAAGUCGAACGAUGAAGCUUCUAGCUUGCUAGAGUGCUGAUUAGUGGCGCACGGGUGAGUAACGCAUAGGUUAUGUGCCUCUUAGUUUGGGAUAGCCAUUGGAAACGAUGAUUAAUACCAGAUACUCCCUACGGGGGAAAGAUUUAUCGCUAAGAGAUCAGCCUAUGUCCUAUCAGCUUGUUGGUAAGGUAAUGGCUUACCAAGGCUAUGACGGGUAUCCGGCCUGAGAGGGUGAACGGACACACUGGAACUGAGACACGGUCCAGACUCCUACGGGAGGCAGCAGUAGGGAAUAUUGCUCAAUGGGGGAAACCCUGAAGCAGCAACGCCGCGUGGAGGAUGAAGGUUUUAGGAUUGUAAACUCCUUUUGUUAGAGAAGAUAAUGACGGUAUCUAACGAAUAAGCACCGGCUAACUCCGUGCCAGCAGCCGCGGUAAUACGGAGGGUGCAAGCGUUACUCGGAAUCACUGGGCGUAAAGAGCGCGUAGGCGGGAUAGUCAGUCAGGUGUGAAAUCCUAUGGCUUAACCAUAGAACUGCAUUUGAAACUACUAUUCUAGAGUGUGGGAGAGGUAGGUGGAAUUCUUGGUGUAGGGGUAAAAUCCGUAGAGAUCAAGAGGAAUACUCAUUGCGAAGGCGACCUGCUGGAACAUUACUGACGCUGAUUGCGCGAAAGCGUGGGGAGCAAACAGGAUUAGAUACCCUGGUAGUCCACGCCCUAAACGAUGGAUGCUAGUUGUUGGAGGGCUUAGUCUCUCCAGUAAUGCAGCUAACGCAUUAAGCAUCCCGCCUGGGGAGUACGGUCGCAAGAUUAAAACUCAAAGGAAUAGACGGGGACCCGCACAAGCGGUGGAGCAUGUGGUUUAAUUCGAAGAUACACGAAGAACCUUACCUAGGCUUGACAUUGAGAGAAUCCGCUAGAAAUAGUGGAGUGUCUGGCUUGCCAGACCUUGAAAACAGGUGCUGCACGGCUGUCGUCAGCUCGUGUCGUGAGAUGUUGGGUUAAGUCCCGCAACGAGCGCAACCCCCUUUCUUAGUUGCUAACAGGUUAUGCUGAGAACUCUAAGGAUACUGCCUCCGUAAGGAGGAGGAAGGUGGGGACGACGUCAAGUCAUCAUGGCCCUUACGCCUAGGGCUACACACGUGCUACAAUGGGGUGCACAAAGAGAAGCAAUACUGCGAAGUGGAGCCAAUCUUCAAAACACCUCUCAGUUCGGAUUGUAGGCUGCAACUCGCCUGCAUGAAGCUGGAAUCGCUAGUAAUCGCAAAUCAGCCAUGUUGCGGUGAAUACGUUCCCGGGUCUUGUACUCACCGCCCGUCACACCAUGGGAGUUGUGUUUGCCUUAAGUCAGGAUGCUAAAUUGGCUACUGCCCACGGCACACACAGCGACUGGGGUGAAGUCGUAACAAGGUAACCGUAGGUGAACCUGCGGUUGGAUCACCUCCUUUCUAGA
Molecule: ribosomal RNA, 1509 nt
Filed under: Helicobacter pylori
Lineage: Bacteria; Pseudomonadati; Campylobacterota; Epsilonproteobacteria; Campylobacterales; Helicobacteraceae
Description: bacterial SSU rRNA
Rfam family: Bacterial small subunit ribosomal RNA
Source: RNAcentral